RNAcentral lists this ribosomal RNA (465 nucleotides) under uncultured bacterium. RNAcentral describes it as "partial 16S ribosomal RNA". It matches the Rfam family "Bacterial small subunit ribosomal RNA", at positions 28 to 507 of the family's 1533-position model. The record is from RNAcentral.
GACGAACGCUGGCGGCGUGCUUAACACAUGCAAGUCGUACGGUAAGGCCCUUUCGGGGGUACACGAGUGGCGAACGGGUGAGUAACACGUGAGUAACCUGCCCACAACUUUGGGAUAACGCUAGGAAACUGGGGCUAAUACUGGAUAUGUGCUCCUGCUGCAUGGUGGGGGUUGGAAAGCUCCGGCGGUUGUGGAUGGACUCGCGGCCUAUCAGCUUGUUGGUGGGGUAGUGGCCUACCAAGGCGGCGACGGGUAGCCGGCCUGAGAGGGUGACCGGCCACAUUGGGACUGAGAUACGGCCCCGACUCCUACGGGAGGCAGCAGUGGGGAAUAUUGCACAAUGGGCGCAAGCCUGAUGCAGCAACGCCGCGUGCGGGAUGACGGCCUUCGGGUUGUAAACCGCUUUCAGCAGGGACGAAGCUUUUUGUGACGGUACCUGCAGAAGAAGCACCGGCUAACUACGUG